GCACAACGCGAAGAACCUUACCUACUCUUGACAUCCAGAGAACUUAGCAGAGAUGCUUUGGUGCCUUCGGGAACUCUGAGACAGGUGCUGCAUGGCUGUCGUCAGCUCGUGUUGUGAAAUGUUGGGUUAAGUCCCGCAACGAGCGCAACCCUUAUCCUUUGUUGCCAGCGGUUCGGCCGGGAACUCAAGGGAGACUGCCAGUGAUAAACUGGAGGAAGGUGGGGAUGACGUCAAGUCAUCAUGGCCCUUACGAGUAGGGCUACACACGUGCUACAAUGGCGUAUACAAAGAGAAGCGACCUCGCGAGAGCAAGCGGACCUCAUAAAGUACGUCGUAGUCCGGAUUGGAGUCUGCAACUCGACUCCAUGAAGUCGGAGUCGCUAGUAAUCGCAGAUCAGCAACGCUGCGGUGAAUACGUUCCCGGGUCUUGUACACACCG
This 439-nucleotide ribosomal RNA is filed under the name uncultured bacterium. Its description in RNAcentral is "bacterial SSU rRNA". It matches the Rfam family "Bacterial small subunit ribosomal RNA", at positions 954 to 1392 of the family's 1533-position model. The record is from RNAcentral.